Molecule: ribosomal RNA, 253 nt
Filed under: uncultured bacterium
Lineage: Bacteria
Description: partial 16S ribosomal RNA
Rfam family: Bacterial small subunit ribosomal RNA
Source: RNAcentral
UACGUAGGGGGCUAGCGCUGUCCGGAUUUAUUGGGCGUAAAGAGCGUGUAGGCGGCCAGGUAGGUCCGUUGUGAAAACUGGAGGCUCAACUUCCAGACGUCGACGGAAACCGUGUGGCUAGAGUCCGGAAGAGGAGAGUGGAAUUCCUGGUGUAGCGGUGAAAUGCGCAGAUAUCAGGAAGAACACCAAUGGCGAAGGCAGCUCUCUGGGACGGUACUGACGCUGAGACGCGAAAGCGUGGGGAGCGAACAGG